This 73-nucleotide transfer RNA is filed under the name Coptotermes formosanus (Formosan subterranean termite). It matches the Rfam family "tRNA". From Rfam's summary of the family: Transfer RNA (tRNA) molecules are approximately 80 nucleotides in length. Their secondary structure includes four short double-helical elements and three loops (D, anti-codon, and T loops). Further hydrogen bonds mediate the characteristic L-shaped molecular structure. tRNAs have two regions of fundamental functional importance: the anti-codon, which is responsible for specific mRNA codon recognition, and the 3' end, to which the tRNAs corresponding amino acid is attached (by aminoacyl-tRNA synthetases). tRNAs cope with the degeneracy of the genetic code in two manners: having more than one tRNA (with a specific anti-codon) for a particular amino acid; and 'wobble' base-pairing, i.e. permitting non-standard base-pairing at the 3rd anti-codon position. RNAcentral also lists the same sequence under 1 other name. Lineage: Eukaryota; Metazoa; Arthropoda; Insecta; Blattodea; Rhinotermitidae. The record is from Rfam by way of RNAcentral.
UAGGAUUUGGUGUAGUGUGGUAGCACGGAGAUUUUUGAGUUCUCGGGUUUAGGUUCAAGUCCUAUAGUCCUAG